Molecule: ribosomal RNA, 557 nt
Filed under: Methylobacterium sp. LDB-B004
Lineage: Bacteria; Pseudomonadati; Pseudomonadota; Alphaproteobacteria; Hyphomicrobiales; Methylobacteriaceae
Also listed under: 72 other names
Description: bacterial SSU rRNA
Rfam family: Bacterial small subunit ribosomal RNA
Source: RNAcentral
ACGGGUGAGUAACGCGUGGGAACGUGCCUUCCGGUUCGGAAUAACCCUGGGAAACUAGGGCUAAUACCGGAUACGCCCUUAUGGGGAAAGGUUUACUGCCGGAAGAUCGGCCCGCGUCUGAUUAGCUAGUUGGUGGGGUAACGGCCUACCAAGGCGACGAUCAGUAGCUGGUCUGAGAGGAUGAUCAGCCACACUGGGACUGAGACACGGCCCAGACUCCUACGGGAGGCAGCAGUGGGGAAUAUUGGACAAUGGGCGCAAGCCUGAUCCAGCCAUGCCGCGUGAGUGAUGAAGGCCUUAGGGUUGUAAAGCUCUUUUAUCCGGGACGAUAAUGACGGUACCGGAGGAAUAAGCCCCGGCUAACUUCGUGCCAGCAGCCGCGGUAAUACGAAGGGGGCUAGCGUUGCUCGGAAUCACUGGGCGUAAAGGGCGCGUAGGCGGCGUUUUAAGUCGGGGGUGAAAGCCUGUGGCUCAACCACAGAAUGGCCUUCGAUACUGGGACGCUUGAGUAUGGUAGAGGUUGGUGGAACUGCGAGUGUAGAGGUGAAAUUCGUAGA